CCUACGGGAGGCAGCAGUAGGGAAUUUUCCGCAAUGGGCGAAAGCCUGACGGAGCAAUACCGCGUGAGGGAUGACGGCCUGUGGGUUGUAAACCUCUUUUCUCAAGGAAGAAGUUCUGACGGUACUUGAGGAAUAAGCAUCGGCUAACUCUGUGCCAGCAGCCGCGGUAAUACAGAGGAUGCAAGCGUUAUCCGGAAUCACUGGGCAUAAAGCGUCUGUAGGUUGUUUAGUAAGUCUGCUGUUAAAGACUGGGGCUUAACCCCAGAAAAGCAGUGGAAACUGCUAGACUCGAGUGUGGUAGAGGUAGAGGGAAUUCCUAGUGUAGCGGUGAAAUGCGUAGAUAUUAGGAAGAACACCAAUGGCGAAGGCACUCUACUGGGCCAUAACUGACACUGAGAGACGACAGCUAGGGGAGCAAACGGGAUUAGAUACCCCGGUAGUCCUAGCCGUAAACGAUGGAUACUAGAUGUUGCACGUAUUAACCCGUGCAGUAUCGUAGCUAAGGCGUUAAGUAUCCGCCUGGGAAGUACGCUCGCAAGAGUGAAAACUCAAAAGUAGUAAGUUGGACGGUCGUAGAGACGUCGACCGACGACGACGACGAGGGAGGAGG
This 610-nucleotide ribosomal RNA is filed under the name uncultured bacterium. RNAcentral's name for it is "bacterial SSU rRNA". It matches the Rfam family "Bacterial small subunit ribosomal RNA", at positions 338 to 1414 of the family's 1533-position model. The record is from RNAcentral.